Molecule: ribosomal RNA, 253 nt
Filed under: uncultured bacterium
Lineage: Bacteria
Description: partial 16S ribosomal RNA
Rfam family: Bacterial small subunit ribosomal RNA
Source: RNAcentral
UACAGAGGUCUCAAGCGUUGUUCGGAUUCAUUGGGCGUAAAGGGUGCGUAGGCGGCGCGGUAAGUCGGGUGUGAAAUCUCGGAGCUUAACUCCGAAACUGCAUUCGAUACUGCCGUGCUUGAGGACUGGAGAGGAGACUGGAAUUUACGGUGUAGCGGUGAAAUGCGUAGAUAUCGUAAGGAAGACCAGUGGCGAAGGCGGGUCUCUGGAGAGUUCCUGACGCUGAGGCACGAAGGUCAGGGGAGCAAACGGG